This 87-nucleotide non-coding RNA is filed under the name Pseudomonas saponiphila. The record is from RNAcentral. Lineage: Bacteria; Pseudomonadati; Pseudomonadota; Gammaproteobacteria; Pseudomonadales; Pseudomonadaceae.
UGUUAUGGCGGCUGUGCGUGGGAGACCUUCGGGUCUGCCGGUUUCCUUGGUUUCCGGUUUUCCAACCUGCGCAUAGCUGCCACCCAU